GUAGUUGGUUUUUUUAUAGCAUAACUUAGCUGAAAAGGAUACACCGAAAAGGAAAAGAGGAAUCUGAUAAAGUCAACUUUUGUUUUUCACUCAAUAUUUUAUUUUAGGGUGUGUUGGCAAAAUAGUCACUUUUUCAAACUUAAUUAAGAAAGUAGUCACUUUACUAUUUAUAAUUUGCAAAAUAGUCACUUUUCACAGUUUGAUUCGUACACUUGGAUUGUACAUCACUUUUAGUAUACAAAUGUAAAGUGUACGCUGUGUAUUUUUAUAUAUAUUUGUACACUAAAAGUGAUGUACAAUCUAAGUGUACGAAUCAAACAGUGAAAAGUAACUAUUUUGCAAAUUAUGAAUAAUAAAGUGACUACUUUUCUAAUUAAGUUUAAAAAAGUGACUAGUUUGCAAAUUAACUCUUUAUUUU
RNAcentral lists this small RNA (418 nucleotides) under Arabidopsis thaliana (thale cress). RNAcentral's name for it is "ATSL286570". The stretch from base 199 to 318 matches the Rfam family "mir-5014 microRNA precursor family". Lineage: Eukaryota; Viridiplantae; Streptophyta; Magnoliopsida; Brassicales; Brassicaceae. The record is from RNAcentral.